Molecule: non-coding RNA, 76 nt
Organism: Thermochaetoides thermophila DSM 1495
Lineage: Eukaryota; Fungi; Ascomycota; Sordariomycetes; Sordariales; Chaetomiaceae
Source: the annotation of a RefSeq genome assembly
GGUUGUGUAGUGUAGUGGUUAGCACAUUGGAUUUUGAAGCCUUCCAAUAACCCCGGUUCGAAUCCGGGCACGACCU